CCUACGGGAGGCAGCAGUAGGGAAUAUUGCUCAAUGGGGGAAACCCUGAAGCAGCAACGCCGCGUGGAGGAUGAAGGUUUUCGGAUUGUAAACUCCUUUUGUUAGAGAAGAUAAUGACGGUAUCUAACGAAUAAGCACCGGCUAACUCCGUGCCAGCAGCCGCGGUAAUACGGAGGGUGCAAGCGUUACUCGGAAUCACUGGGCGGAAAGAGCGCGUAGGCGGGAUAGCAAGUCAGAUGUGAAAUCCUAUGGCUUAACCAUAGAACUGCAUUUGACACUGUUAUUCUAGAGUAUGGGAGAGGUAGGUGGAAUUCUUGGUGUAGGGGUAAAAUCCGUAGAGAUCAAGAGGAAUACUCAUUGCGAAGGCGACCUGCUAGAACAUAACUGACGCUGAUGCGCGAAAGCGUGGGGAGCAAACAGGAUUAGAUACCCCGGUAGUC
Molecule: ribosomal RNA, 440 nt
Filed under: uncultured bacterium
Lineage: Bacteria
Description: partial 16S ribosomal RNA
Rfam family: Bacterial small subunit ribosomal RNA
Source: RNAcentral